Molecule: ribosomal RNA, 301 nt
Filed under: uncultured bacterium
Lineage: Bacteria
Description: partial 16S ribosomal RNA
Rfam family: Bacterial small subunit ribosomal RNA
Source: RNAcentral
CAGCAGCCGCGGUAAUACAGAGGGUGCAAGCGUUAAUCGGAAUUACUGGGCGUAAAGCGCGCGUAGGUGGUUUGUUAAGUUGGAUGUGAAAGCCCCGGGCUCAACCUGGGAACUGCAUCCAAAACUGGCAAGCUAGAGUACGGUAGAGGGUGGUGGAAUUUCCUGUGUAGCGGUGAAAUGCGUAGAUAUAGGAAGGAACACCAGUGGCGAAGGCGACCACCUGGACUGAUACUGACACUGAGGUGCGAAAGCGUGGGGAGCAAACAGGAUUAGAUCCCCUGUAGUCCCUGUCUCUUAUACA